AACGAACGCUGGCGGCAGGCUUAACACAUGCAAGUCGAACGCGUGUAGCAAUACACGAGUGGCGCACGGGUGAGUAACGCGUGGAUAUCUGCCUUUUGGUUCGGAAUAACUCCGGGAAACUGGAGCUAAUACCGGAUGGUUCCUACGGGAUAAAGAUUUAUCGCCAAAAGAUGAGUCCGCGUACGAUUAGCUAGUUGGUGAGGUAAUGGCUCACCAAGGCGACGAUCGUUAGCUGGUCUGAGAGGACGAUCAGCCACACUGGGACUGAGACACGGCCCAGACUCCUACGGGAGGCAGCAGUGGGAAUAUUGGACAAUGGGGGCAACCCUGAUCCAGCCAUGCCGCGUGAGUGAUGAAGGCCUUCGGGUUGUAAAGGCUCUUUUGGCGGGGACGAUGAUGACGGUACCCGCAGAAUAAGCCCCGGCGUAACUUCGUGCCAGCAGCCG
This 446-nucleotide ribosomal RNA is filed under the name uncultured bacterium. RNAcentral's name for it is "bacterial SSU rRNA". It matches the Rfam family "Bacterial small subunit ribosomal RNA", at positions 29 to 517 of the family's 1533-position model. The record is from RNAcentral.